Molecule: ribosomal RNA, 253 nt
Filed under: uncultured bacterium
Lineage: Bacteria
Description: partial 16S ribosomal RNA
Rfam family: Bacterial small subunit ribosomal RNA
Source: RNAcentral
UACAGAGGUCUCAAGCGUUGUUCGGAAUCACUGGGCGUAAAGCGCACGUAGGCGGCUUCUUAAGUCAGGGGUGAAAUCCUGGAGCUCAACUCCAGAACUGCCUUUGAUACUGAGGAGCUUGAGUCCGGGAGAGGUGAGUGGAACUGCGAGUGUAGAGGUGAAAUUCGUAGAUAUUCGCAAGAACACCAGUGGCGAAGGCGGCUCACUGGCCCGGUACUGACGCUGAGGUGCGAAAGCGGGGGGAGCAAACAGG